GGUCGCUUAGCUCAGUUGGUUAGAGCGUGGUGCUAAUAGCCUUUGCAACGUUAACGCCAAGGUCGCGAGUUCGACCCUCGUAGUGACCA
RNAcentral lists this transfer RNA (89 nucleotides) under Paraphaeosphaeria minitans. RNAcentral's name for it is "Paraconiothyrium minitans tRNA". It matches the Rfam family "tRNA". Rfam says of the family: Transfer RNA (tRNA) molecules are approximately 80 nucleotides in length. RNAcentral also lists the same sequence under 1 other name. Lineage: Eukaryota; Fungi; Ascomycota; Dothideomycetes; Pleosporales; Didymosphaeriaceae. The record is from Rfam by way of RNAcentral.